Long non-coding RNA from Aethina tumida (small hive beetle), 322 nucleotides. RefSeq lists it as uncharacterized. Lineage: Eukaryota; Metazoa; Arthropoda; Insecta; Coleoptera; Nitidulidae. The record is from RefSeq and is a predicted model, not a curated record. The transcript is spliced from 2 exons.
CAGUCUUGUCAACUAAAAUUGUACUUGUCGGGCAAAAUGAACAAAUCUUCGAGUAGUGACAGCGCUGAUGAGUCUGUGCAAGUAUUGGGCGUCAUAGUACCCUGCUCCCAACGAAAAAGAAUUGAAAUCAGUUCAGACGAUUGGAAAAUAUUUAUAAUAAUAGUGAAUAUAAUUUUUCAUGUAAUUAUAUUGAUCGUGUUAAUAAUCGUCCAUACAAGAAUUAGACGUGCACUGGGCAUUUUCACAAGCAAGGACGUUUACGACAGCUACAACUAAAAUUAAUUUCGUGUACCAAAGAGCGAAUAAAAGCUUAUUUUAUUAA